Molecule: long non-coding RNA, 573 nt
Filed under: Ananas comosus (pineapple)
Lineage: Eukaryota; Viridiplantae; Streptophyta; Magnoliopsida; Poales; Bromeliaceae
Description: long non-coding RNA (ACOM_LNC017137)
Source: RNAcentral
GUUACUUACUUUAAUAUACUAACUAAACUGGGCAUGUUUGGUUCAUGAUUGGAAUAGAAAUGAGAAAUGGAAUUAGAUUGCUUUGGAAUGGAAAAUAGAAUGACGAAUCAUCCAAAAAUGUUUGAUUCAUUAUUGGAAUGAGAAUCAGAAUGAAAAUUUAAAAUUUUUGAGGGAUAGUUUUGAUUAAGAGAGAGGAAAGUGAUGAAAGGAGAGGAGGUAGGUGUUGAUGAAAGAGAAUUUUAAAUAGUUUACUUUGGAAUGAGCCAAUCCGGGAUUUAAAGCAGGAUUGGAUCAUAAAUGGAUUUGGCUAUUCCCAUUCCGGAGUGGAAUGGGAAUCGGAAUCCGAUUCCUAUAAAACAAACGGCAACUAUCGGAAUCAAUAAAUUCCAUUCCGAUUCCAUAGUUCGAACCAAACAUGCCACGAAACAUUCGAAUUUUUAGGUCAAAAUAUCGUUGAUUAACUCAAACGAAAUAAAUUGAAAGGUUAAAUAGUAAAAUCAAAUUUUGGAAGAUUGGAUCGCUGACUCAAAAUAGUUUAUAAUUCAGAUAAAUUAUUUAUAUUUUUACUUUUUU